Molecule: long non-coding RNA, 1014 nt
Organism: Chinchilla lanigera (long-tailed chinchilla)
Lineage: Eukaryota; Metazoa; Chordata; Mammalia; Rodentia; Chinchillidae
Exons: 2
Source: RefSeq, a predicted model, not a curated record
CCAAAGACAAGCUCGCACAAAAAGCAACCAAGGUGCAUCCCCUGUCUGCUAGAGCAGCUCCUGCUCUGUGGGGGGUCUCCAGGGGGCCACUGCUCAUCAACCCAGGGAUGGACCUCAACAUGUGUGCUCAUCCACACCCUCAGCCUGUUGCUGACAUCGUCUGUCGGCCUACACCAGUUUCCCAGAGCUUCCAUAUUCACUGUAGCUGUCUCUUUUUCAGGAAGCUUGGACGGCCUUAUCCCUGCUGGAUCCUUAUCCUUGCAGGACUUUUCACAGCCUAUCAAAAAUAUGAAUCACUCCCUGGUAUUUUUACUCAAACUCUUCUAGGCUGCCAGCCUUCUCCUUUAAAAUUCUUUCUCAGUUUCUGUUUAUCCAAAUCAGGGAUGACAAACCUAAACACAGGCACAAGGCUGUGCGUGCAAAUGAAUAUGUGAUCUGGGCUGCAGGACGAGGUGAGCCUGGCCGAAAACUGAAGAGUCCAUGCCACUGGUGAAAGGCAUUUGAAUUUAAAAAUUUAAAACAGACUCAUCACAUGUCAAGACCCUUGGCAGGAACCCUGUAACACUGUAUUAACUGAAACAUUAAAGAGAGCUGUGAAGAAAGGAAACAUUACCUCGGACGUUUGGAUACGUGCAAACCCUGUUACUACUGUUGAUAAGAUAAUCAGAUCUCCUGACUUCUUUUCACUUUGCCUCGCACCUUGUCAAAUUAUGCUGUGGACACUAGGGGGUGCUCUCGCACUAUUUUCCUGGGCAAUGCCUUUAAAAGUAAUUUUGAAAAAAUUCCUUAGUUUCCUUAGAGCCCGACUUUAAAUUUCUGCUCAUAGAUAUGGAUUUUGUGGAUCAAAUAACUUUUAUGACUAACCCUUUUACGUUUUAUGAAUAAAAAAAUUUUAAGGCUUAUAGUUAAUAUUUCAACGGCUGUUAUUUCUCUUAAGUUUGAUGUAAGCUUUGGUAAGUUGGAAUUUUUUUAAGCAUGUUCAAAAGUCCAGCAAUAAAAUUUUUUUGGGGAAAA